AUAACGGCGCUGGCACCGCCCCUUCUCGAUAACUCGCAGAGCUGGGCUGGUAAAAUUGCAGUGCUAAGAACACUGGACCCGGCUGCUCAGGAGUCAACACACAUAUACACUAAGGAGGAAGUGAGUUCCCACACCAGCCCUGAGACUGGGAUCUGGGUGACUCUGGGCUCUGAGGUCUUUGAUGUCACAGAAUUUGUGGACUUACAUCCAGGGGGCCCUUCAAAGCUGAUGCUAGCAGCUGGGGGUCCCCUAGAGCCCUUCUGGGCCCUCUAUGCUG
This 277-nucleotide small RNA is filed under the name Pongo abelii (Sumatran orangutan). Its description in RNAcentral is "processed transcript". Lineage: Eukaryota; Metazoa; Chordata; Mammalia; Primates; Hominidae. The record is from RNAcentral.